This 478-nucleotide ribosomal RNA is filed under the name uncultured bacterium. Its description in RNAcentral is "bacterial SSU rRNA". It matches the Rfam family "Bacterial small subunit ribosomal RNA", at positions 29 to 511 of the family's 1533-position model. The record is from RNAcentral.
AACGAACGUUAGCGGCGCGCCUAACACAUGCAAGUCGAGCGAGAAAGGGCUUCGGCCCCGGUACAGCGGCGCACGGGUGAGUAACACGUAGGUAAUCUACCCCUGAAUGGUGGAUAACCCUCCGAAAGGAGGGCUAAUACAGCAUAAGACCACGGCUUCUUCGGAGGCUGAGGCCAAAGCGGGCCACUUCUCGAAAGCUCGCGUUUGGGGAUGAGCCUGCGGCCCAUCAGCUAGUGGCGGUGUAAUAGACCACCAAGGCUAAGACGGGUAGCUGGUCUGAGAGGAUGAACAGCCACACUGGAACUGAGACACGGUCCAGACUCCUACGGGAGGCAGCAGUGGGGAAUUUUGCGCAAUGGGGGAAACCCUGACGCAGCAACGCCGCGUGGAGGAUGAAGUCCCUUGGGACGUAAACUCCUUUCGACCGGGACGAUAAUGACGGUACCGGUGGAAGAAGCCCCGGCUAACUUCGUGCCAG